GUCCUAAAGUGUCCCUGAUUGGCCAUUUCGGUCUUCUCUUUGGGGUCUAGCCAGUGAUAAAUGGAAGCCCUGCGAAAAUCCGUGAGGUGAGCACGUGAUAGCCGCUGACUCUAGAAUGAACAGUAUUAACCCCACUGGUUUGGCGCAUGAUGAAAUGAAGGACAGAUCCAUUGUGUUUUCAGUAAAGGACAGGAUGAGGAUUCCAGAAAAGUGAUGAGGAACUAAUUUAGGGAAACAUGGCUUCAUCGCAGGAAACAGGCAAGAAUCCCAAAUGCAGGUGGAAAAUUUUACUGGGCACCGAUGACUCAGAAGAGUUCAUUGUGGUUAAUAGAAGUAAAGCCAGAAGUCACCAUAGAUCAUCUACUGACCACAUGGGAAAAGCUGAAAUAAAAUUGAUAAC
Gorilla gorilla gorilla (western lowland gorilla) is the source of this 400-nucleotide long non-coding RNA. RefSeq lists it as uncharacterized. Lineage: Eukaryota; Metazoa; Chordata; Mammalia; Primates; Hominidae. The record is from RefSeq and is a predicted model, not a curated record. The transcript has 4 exons.